Molecule: ribosomal RNA, 234 nt
Filed under: uncultured Actinomycetales bacterium
Lineage: Bacteria; Bacillati; Actinomycetota; Actinomycetes; Actinomycetales
Description: partial 16S ribosomal RNA
Rfam family: Bacterial small subunit ribosomal RNA
Source: RNAcentral
GGCGAACGGGUGAGUAACACGUGAGUAACCUGCCCACAACUUUGGGAUAACGCUAGGAAACUGGUGCUAAUACUGGAUAUGUGCUCCUGCUGCAUGGUGGGGUUGGAAAGCCCGGCGGUUGUGGAUGGACUCGCGGCCUAUCAGCUUGUUGGUGGGGUAGUGGCCUACCAAGGCGGCGACGGGUAGCCGGCCUGAGAGGGUGACCGGCCACAUUGGGACUGAGAUACGGCCCAG